GUCCAUCUGACGAGUCCAAAAUAGGACGAAAUGUGCGUCAAACUGGAU
Molecule: non-coding RNA, 48 nt
Organism: Schistosoma margrebowiei
Lineage: Eukaryota; Metazoa; Platyhelminthes; Trematoda; Strigeidida; Schistosomatidae
Source: Rfam